UACGAAGGGGGCAAGCGUUGUUCGGAAUUACUGGGCGUAAAGGGCGCGCAGGCGGCUCGUUAAGUCAGAUGUGAAAGCCCCGGGCUCAACCUGGGAAUAGCAUUUGGGACUGAUGGGCUAGAGAUCGGGAGAGGAGAGUGGAAUUCCCAGUGUAGAGGUGAAAUUCGUAGAUAUUCGGAAGAACACCAGUGGCGAAGGCGGCUCACUGGUCCGGUACUGACGCUGAGGUGCGAAAGCGUGGGGAGCAAACAGG
RNAcentral lists this ribosomal RNA (253 nucleotides) under uncultured bacterium. RNAcentral describes it as "partial 16S ribosomal RNA". It matches the Rfam family "Bacterial small subunit ribosomal RNA", at positions 524 to 776 of the family's 1533-position model. The record is from RNAcentral.